RNAcentral lists this long non-coding RNA (327 nucleotides) under Coffea arabica (coffee). RNAcentral's name for it is "long non-coding RNA (CARA_LNC005614)". The record is from RNAcentral. Lineage: Eukaryota; Viridiplantae; Streptophyta; Magnoliopsida; Gentianales; Rubiaceae.
GGGGUCAAGUCACUUAGUACCAUUGGAGCUCAAAAUGAAACACAUAACAAUGAUUUAAAAGGCCAUAACAGUUUAGCCAGCAAGAGAAACCAAAACAGUCUACUAGUGAUCCAAACAACCACUUUACUUGCUUCAUUUCUACUUCAACUCACACAUAAGCUCAACCAAUGUCUAGCCAAGUGUCUUAGGCUUAAUUUAAGGUGCAAAAGAACCACAAAAUCAAGGAGAAACUUCUCCUUCCAAAACUGGUCAACCAAGAAGAAAGAAAAUAGUGCACAAGUUCACUUAUUUAACCAACCUUCAUCCUUUCAUGGUUUUCACUUAAAC